AUAACUUUUAGCCUAGCUUUAAGGUCAAAAGAACGUAUGUUCAACUUUUUUGUUGAUUGUUGUCCUCCAAUGUGCAGCUCAUACUGUGGUGUUCUUAUGCUGGCGUGUGUUAAGUUCUUUGCCAGAAUAUUCACCACGAGGUUUAGUGUGGUAAGUGGUGUAUAUAAUUAAGGGUGUUCAAAAGAACCCGACCCAGUUGUCCCGUCCCGAUUAUCCGAUGACCCGCAAAAACCCUGAUGGGCAGGGUCGGGUACCCGUCCCGCUAAAAUAGCAAUUUCGUGGGCCAGGACAUGGGACAAGCUUUGCUACUUUCGGGUACCCGGAUACUCGUUAAAAAAAAAAAUCGUAUGAAACUACCGGAUUUAAGGCCCAACCCACUUAGACAAAUAGACAGUUAGACCUAGGGUUCCAAUAUUCCCCAAAAAAAACAAAAAAAACACUGUCAGACACUACUCAGACCUCAGAAUUCUUCUUCUCUUUCUCUUGCGCCUCAAUCUCGAUAUCUCCUCCCUUAAAAAUUCAAUCAAUUCCGUCAAAAAAUCAAUAAAAUUCGACUCGAUUCAUUCUCAAACUUCAUCAGAUCUAAAUCAUUUCGUGGUCCCGCUCAUUUUCAUUAGUUCACUCAAUCUUCUCACCACCUUAGGAAUGAAAGACUUGGUUUUGGAGCAACCGACGAUUGUUAUUGAUGAGGCAAUGGAAAUAUAGGAUCUCACAAGUGAUUGAAUGUUAUGUAACAUAGGUUGUUAAUUGUUGACUUAAAUUUAAACAUUGGUGUCUUUUGGUCUUCUGGACUAGACAUGUGUAUUCAGACAUGUUCUGCCGUCCACAUUGGUGUUUACAAGUUGUAUUGUUUAGUGUUUACAGUAGGUACUUACUUUGCAGGA
Chenopodium quinoa (quinoa) is the source of this 884-nucleotide long non-coding RNA. RefSeq lists it as uncharacterized. The transcript has 3 exons. Lineage: Eukaryota; Viridiplantae; Streptophyta; Magnoliopsida; Caryophyllales; Amaranthaceae. The record is from RefSeq and is a predicted model, not a curated record.